GAGAAGAGUUGCUCCUAGUACGAGAGGACCGGAGUGAACGAACCUCUGGUGUUCGGGUUGUUACGCCAGUAGCAUUGCCCGGUAGCUAUGUUCGGACAGGAUAACCGCUGAAAGCAUCUAAGCGGGAAGCCCCCUUCAAGAUAAGGUCUCUCUGAGAGCCGUGGAAGACCACCACGUUGAUAGGCCGGGUGUGGAAGCGCAGUAAUGUGUGAAGCUGA
This 218-nucleotide ribosomal RNA is filed under the name Lotharella globosa. RNAcentral describes it as "partial Bacterial large subunit ribosomal RNA". It matches the Rfam family "Bacterial large subunit ribosomal RNA", at positions 2664 to 2894 of the family's 2925-position model. Lineage: Eukaryota; Cercozoa; Chlorarachniophyceae. The record is from RNAcentral.